CAGCAGUCGCCGCGGGAAUACGUAGGGUGCAAGCGUUAAUCGGAAUUACUGGGCGUAAAGCGUGCGCAGGCGGUUAUAUAAGACAGAUGUGAAAUCCCCGGGCUCAACCUGGGAACUGCAUUUGUGACUGUAUAGCUAGAGUACGGCAGAGGGGGAUGGAAUUCCGCGUGUAGCAGUGAAAUGCGUAGAUAUGCGGAGGAACACCGAUGGCGAAGGCAAUCCCCUGGGCCUGUACUGACGCUCAUGCACGAAAGCGUGGGGAGCAAACAGGAUUAGAUACCCCCGUAGUCCCUGUCUCUUAUAC
Molecule: ribosomal RNA, 304 nt
Filed under: uncultured bacterium
Lineage: Bacteria
Description: partial 16S ribosomal RNA
Rfam family: Bacterial small subunit ribosomal RNA
Source: RNAcentral